RNAcentral lists this transfer RNA (74 nucleotides) under Triticum aestivum (bread wheat). It matches the Rfam family "tRNA". From Rfam's summary of the family: Transfer RNA (tRNA) molecules are approximately 80 nucleotides in length. Their secondary structure includes four short double-helical elements and three loops (D, anti-codon, and T loops). Further hydrogen bonds mediate the characteristic L-shaped molecular structure. tRNAs have two regions of fundamental functional importance: the anti-codon, which is responsible for specific mRNA codon recognition, and the 3' end, to which the tRNAs corresponding amino acid is attached (by aminoacyl-tRNA synthetases). tRNAs cope with the degeneracy of the genetic code in two manners: having more than one tRNA (with a specific anti-codon) for a particular amino acid; and 'wobble' base-pairing, i.e. permitting non-standard base-pairing at the 3rd anti-codon position. Lineage: Eukaryota; Viridiplantae; Streptophyta; Magnoliopsida; Poales; Poaceae. The record is from Rfam by way of RNAcentral.
GGGGAAAUAGCUCAGUUGGUUAGAGUGCUGGUCUGUCACGCCAGAAGUCGCGGGUUCUAACCCCGUUUUCCCCG